UACGAAGGGGGCUAGCGUUGCUCGGAAUCACUGGGCGUAAAGGGUGCGUAGGCGGGUCUUUAAGUCAGGGGUGAAAUCCUGGAGCUCAACUCCAGAACUGCCUUUGAUACUGAAGAUCUUGAGUUCGGGAGAGGUGAGUGGAACUGCGAGUGUAGAGGUGAAAUUCGUAGAUAUUCGCAAGAACACCAGUGGCGAAGGCGGCCAACUGGUCCGGAACUGACGCUGAGGUGCGAAAGCGUGGGGAGCAAACAGG
Molecule: ribosomal RNA, 253 nt
Filed under: uncultured bacterium
Lineage: Bacteria
Description: partial 16S ribosomal RNA
Rfam family: Bacterial small subunit ribosomal RNA
Source: RNAcentral